Long non-coding RNA from Lethenteron reissneri (Far Eastern brook lamprey), 424 nucleotides. RefSeq lists it as uncharacterized. Lineage: Eukaryota; Metazoa; Chordata; Hyperoartia; Petromyzontiformes; Petromyzontidae. The record is from RefSeq and is a predicted model, not a curated record.
CGCUUCGACUCCACCGUGGGGUUUGGCCCAGGAAGCCGCUGUCACAAAGCAUCGGCCCAGGCGACGCGGCCUCUGUCGGAGGAGCUGAGUUGGCAGAAUCGCCCACCCCUGCCAACGCGGCGAGGGCGACCCGUCGCUCAACAUGAAGGGAUGCGACGCGACAGUCGGUGCCGCGUGGAGUUUCGUGGGAGCGCGAAGGGUCACAGUUUCAGACUGGGGCAAAUGUGCCGGAUGGAAGAGGCAGGUUACGGCAACUGGCACGAGUGACACACACAGAAGCGAGAUAAAGAAGCCGGGGCACGGUUGGAGACGGCGAUCACUCCGCGCCCAAGAGAAGAGAAAAGGGAGAGGACAACUGCUCUGUAUCGGAGCGUCGCUAAAGCCCAGCGCACAACAAGACCCUCACAAAAGAGCGGGCGCUGGA